UGGGGAAUAUUGCACAAUGGGGAAACCCUGAUGCAGCGACGCCGCGUGAGUGAAGAAGUAUUUCGGUAUGUAAAGCUCUAUCAGCAGGGAAGAAAAUGACGGUACCUGACUAAGAAGCCCCGGCUAACUACGUGCCAGCAGCCGCGGUAAUACGUAGGGGGCAAGCGUUAUCCGGAUUUACUGGGUGUAAAGGGAGCGUAGACGGAUCGGCAAGUCUGAUGUGAAAGGCCGGGGACUCAACCCCGGGCACUCGCAUUGGAAACUGUUGAUCUUGAGUGCCGGAGGGGUAAGUGGAAUUCCUAGUGUAGCGGUGAAAUGCGUAGAUAUUAGGAGGAACACCAGUGGCGAAGGCGGCUUACUGGACGGUAACUGACGUUGAGGCUCGAAAGCGUGGGGAGCAAACAGGAUUAGAUACC
This 416-nucleotide ribosomal RNA is filed under the name uncultured bacterium. RNAcentral's name for it is "bacterial SSU rRNA". It matches the Rfam family "Bacterial small subunit ribosomal RNA", at positions 355 to 786 of the family's 1533-position model. The record is from RNAcentral.